This 414-nucleotide long non-coding RNA is filed under the name Mytilus galloprovincialis (Mediterranean mussel). The record is from RNAcentral. Lineage: Eukaryota; Metazoa; Mollusca; Bivalvia; Mytilida; Mytilidae.
CAGUAAACAGAUUCACAACAAUGUCAAUUUCAAGAAAGCAGACAACAGUUAAUUAGUCAAUAACAGUACAGCAUCAAUAAUCUUGAAUAUAUGCCACUUUUAACUAAAAUAUAAAGGCACAGAACCAGGACAUAGGAGCACAGAACCAGGACCGUUUUUCUUAUCACCAGCACAGCGUCAGGACAAUUCCGUUUAACGAACUUGCACGACUUUUGCAAUAUAAUAUUGUUGUAAAUAUACUUUGCAUGGACUUAUGAGCAUCAGAGAAAAAUUAAGCAACACAACAGUCGUUUUAUUGCCGUUCUGAUACAAUGUAAACAAACCCACCAGCACAAAAUCAGGACCCACCAGCACCUGACAGGACCAAAUCACCAGCACAGAACGUUCUCUCGCAGGACAACCAUACCCACCGUG